RNAcentral lists this ribosomal RNA (497 nucleotides) under uncultured bacterium. Its description in RNAcentral is "partial 16S ribosomal RNA". It matches the Rfam family "Bacterial small subunit ribosomal RNA", at positions 28 to 507 of the family's 1533-position model. The record is from RNAcentral.
GAUGAACGCUGGCGGCGUGCCUAAUACAUGCAAGUCGAGCGAACAGACGAGUAGCUUGCUCCGCUGACGUUAGCGGCGGACGGGUGAGUAACACGUGGAUAACCUACCUAUAAGACUGGGAUAACUUCGGGAAACCGGAGCUAAUACCGGAUAAUAUAUUUAACCGCAUGGUUCAAUAGUGAAAGACGGUUUUGCUGUCACUUAUAGAUGUAUCCGCGCCGCAUUGGCUAGUUGGUAAGGUAACGGGUUACCAAGGCAACGAUGCGUAGCCGACCUGAGAGGGUGAUCGGCCACACUGGAAGUGAGACACGGUCCAGACUCCUACGGGAGGCAGCAGUAGGGAAUGUUCGGCAAUGGGCGAAAGCCUGACGGAGCAACGCCGCGUGAGUGAUGAAGGUCUUCGGAUCGUAAAACUCUGUUAUUAGGGAAGAACAAAUGUGUAAGUAACUAUGCACGUCUUGACGGUACCUAAUCAGAAAGCCACGGCUAACUACGUG